Triticum dicoccoides is the source of this 378-nucleotide long non-coding RNA. RefSeq lists it as uncharacterized. The record is from RefSeq and is a predicted model, not a curated record. The transcript is spliced from 3 exons. NCBI's taxonomy places the organism in Eukaryota, Viridiplantae, Streptophyta, Magnoliopsida, Poales, Poaceae.
CAGAGAGGGAGCACACAAGAGAGGCUUCUGAGAUGGCCAAGGGUUUACUGAUCGAUCCAUCCUGAUUGGGAUCUGUUCGUGGUUCUGGUUGACUGGCUGGUGCGUCGUGCCAUUGCUGGUGCUUGAGGUUGUCUCGCUGGUUUCCUUGCAGUAUCGUCGAUCUGUGCAUCCAGGCACCCCAAGCUUUUCCUCGCGCGAUGGCAUCAGGCGCACGGAGGGAGCUCUUCUCCGUCGAUGUGGUGAACAACGACUGUGAUCUCCGUUCCACGGCGUCACCGGCUAGCAAGGCCGAGACAAGCAUCGUAAGGAUCCAGUUAGAAUGAUGACUGAUAUCCUGUUAGAGCAUCUUGGGCUUCACAAGGCCAUCUGAGACUCGGG